This 478-nucleotide ribosomal RNA is filed under the name uncultured bacterium. RNAcentral describes it as "partial 16S ribosomal RNA". It matches the Rfam family "Bacterial small subunit ribosomal RNA", at positions 28 to 507 of the family's 1533-position model. The record is from RNAcentral.
GACGAACGCUGGCGGCGUGCUUAACACAUGCAAGUCGAACGUGAUUUUUGUGGAAAUUCUUUCGGGAAUGGAAAUGAAAUGAAAGUGGCGAACGGGUGAGUAACACGUGAGCAACCUACCUUACACAGGGGGAUAGCCGUUGGAAACGACGAUUAAUACCGCAUGAGACCACAGAAUCGCAUGAUAUAGGGGUCAAAGAUUUAUCGGUGUAAGAAGGGCUCGCGUCUGAUUAGCUAGUUGGAAGGGUAAAGGCCUACCAAGGCGACGAUCAGUAGCCGGUCUGGGAGACUGAACGGCCACAUUGGAACUGAGACACAGUCCAAACUCCUACGGGAGGCAGGAGUGGGGAAUAUUGCACAAUGGGGGGAACCCUGAUGCAGCGACGCCGCGUGAGCGAAGAAGGUUUUCGAAUCGUAAAGCUCUGUCCUAUGAGAAGAUAAUGACGGUAUCAUAGGAGGAAGCCCCGGCUAAAUACGUG